GCUACUUGCUUUGGCAGCACAUAACAAAAUUGGAAUUAUACAGAGAAGAUUAGCAUGGCAAUUGCACAAAGAUGACACACAAAUUCGUGAGGCGUUCCAUAUUGAA
Mastomys coucha (southern multimammate mouse) is the source of this 106-nucleotide small nuclear RNA. The record is from RefSeq and is a predicted model, not a curated record. Lineage: Eukaryota; Metazoa; Chordata; Mammalia; Rodentia; Muridae.